This is a long non-coding RNA of Passer domesticus (house sparrow), 944 nucleotides long. RefSeq lists it as uncharacterized. NCBI's taxonomy places the organism in Eukaryota, Metazoa, Chordata, Aves, Passeriformes, Passeridae. The record is from RefSeq and is a predicted model, not a curated record. The transcript has 4 exons.
CAAAACUAAGAAUGAAAACCCUCCAAAUACAUUCCUCCUCCUCCCCUCCAUUUUCUCCACAGAAUGAAAUAACACCAUAGAUUUCCACCACGUCACCAUCUCUCACAUAAUCAACUUUCAGUACAUCAUCACCCCUCAAAUAAUCCACCCUCAAGCCCAUCAAGGAGAGAGGAGUCCCCCCUUGCACCAUAGGCUUCCCCUGGAAACACAAUUGAAACCUCUUGUGCUUCCGUGUCACUCGUGGCACCGCCCAGAGAACAUCGGCCCUUGUGACUUCUUCCCUCCAUGUCCAGUGCUCUCACCACUGCACAUGGGCCAGGACUGAUUUAGGGUUCCCCGUUUAAGGAUGCUCCACCCAGUUUCAAAAGCAGCAGUCUCUCAACUUUGGGACACCAGUCCCCCCCAAAUUUACCCCCUGGGACCGAGGGGCCUCAUGAACAGAGAUCUCCCUCUCCACGGAGACAGAGGGCAUCUCACACCCUUCUCAGCCAUCUCUGUUCUCACCACUGCUUCACUCUUGACUCCAAGGUUUAAAGAAAGUGCAAUUUUCACUGUUACCAGUCCUAUGGAAAAGAGUCACACCCCUGUUUCUUAAAGAAAAAUGUACCUUUUAUCCCUCAAAUUUGUCAGGUCAAGGAAGAGAUGUAACAGGAAACUCAGCAGUCUUUGAAGUCAAACUAGAUAGAUCAGAAGUAGAUUGAUCUGCAAGAGAAAGCAAGGAAGGAAAAUAAGAAGAAAAAUAAGUGUUUGCAUCCUAAUUUUUGAGCCUGUUUAAAUCGAAGGACACCAGAGAACUUUUGUCCAGGGAACCUCACUACUGAUCAUUACACUGCUGACCAAAAAUACUUCUGCUUUAGAAUAAAAUGAAUAGUUGUCUGUGUUGACUAAAAGGCUGCAGUCAGCUUGCCUGCUGAGAGUCUACUUCCGUUUUAGGUGACCAAGUG